RNAcentral lists this ribosomal RNA (120 nucleotides) under uncultured bacterium. RNAcentral describes it as "partial 16S ribosomal RNA". It matches the Rfam family "Bacterial small subunit ribosomal RNA", at positions 28 to 141 of the family's 1533-position model. The record is from RNAcentral.
GAUGAACGCUAGCGGGAGGCUUAAUACAUGCAAGUCGUACGGUAACAGUCUCGGCCUAGCCGAGAGCUGACGAGUGGCGGACGGGUGAGUAACGCGUACACGAUCUACCUAUAAGUCUGG